Molecule: ribosomal RNA, 355 nt
Filed under: uncultured bacterium
Lineage: Bacteria
Description: bacterial SSU rRNA
Rfam family: Bacterial small subunit ribosomal RNA
Source: RNAcentral
GUAGGUCACAAGCGUNGUCCGGAAUCACUGGGUGUAAAGGGAGCGCAGGCGGGAAGACAAGUUGGAAGUGAAAUCCAUGGGCUCAACCCAUGAACUGCUUUCAAAACUGUUUUUCUUGAGUAGUGCAGAGGUAGGCGGAAUUCCCGGUGUAGCGGUGGAAUGCGUAGAUAUCGGGAGGAACACCAGUGGCGAAGGCGGCCUACUGGGCACCAACUGACGCUGAGGCUCGAAAGUGUGGGUAGCAAACAGGAUUAGAUACCCUGGUAGUCCACACUGUAAACGAUGAAUACUAGGUGUUGGUGGGCAAAGCCCAUCGGUGCCGCCGCAAACGCAAUAAGUAUUCCACCUGGGGAGU